RNAcentral lists this ribosomal RNA (347 nucleotides) under uncultured fungus. RNAcentral's name for it is "SSU rRNA". It matches the Rfam family "Eukaryotic small subunit ribosomal RNA", at positions 20 to 370 of the family's 1831-position model. Lineage: Eukaryota; Fungi. The record is from RNAcentral.
GUAGUCAUAUGCUUGUCUCAAAGAUUAAGCCAUGCAUGUCUAAGUAUAAGCAAUCUGUACGGUGAAACUGCGAAUGGCUCAUUAAAUCAGUUAUCGUUUAUUUGAUAGUACCUUACUACAUGGAUACCUGUGGUAAUUCUAGAGCUAAUACAUGCUAAAAACUCCAACUUCGGAAGGAGUGUAUUUAUUAGAUAAAAAACCAAUGCCCUUCGGGGCUCCUUGGUGAAUCAUAAUAACUUAUCGAAUCGCAUGGCCUUGCGCUGGCGAUGGUUCAUUCAAAUUUCUGCCCUAUCAACUUUCGAUGGUAGGAUAGUGGCCUACCAUGGUGGCAACGGGUAACGGGGAAU